This 492-nucleotide ribosomal RNA is filed under the name uncultured bacterium. Its description in RNAcentral is "partial 16S ribosomal RNA". It matches the Rfam family "Bacterial small subunit ribosomal RNA", at positions 28 to 507 of the family's 1533-position model. The record is from RNAcentral.
GGUGAACGCUGGCGUUAGGCCUAACACAUGCAAGUCGAACGGCAGCACAGUAAGAGCUUGCUCUUACGGGUGGCGAGUGGCGGACGGGUGAGGAAUACAUCGGAAUCUACUUUUUCGUGGGGGAUAACGUAGGGAAACUUACGCUAAUACCGCAUACGACCUACGGGUGAAAGCAGGGGAUCUUCGGACCUUGCGCGAUUGAAUGAGCCGAUGUCGGAUUAGCUAGUUGGCGGGGUAAAGGCCCACCAAGGCGACGAUCCGUAGCUGGUCUGAGAGGAUGAUCAGCCACACUGGAACUGAGACACGGUCCAGACUCCUACGGGAGGCAGCAGUGGGGAAUAUUGGACAAUGGGCGCAAGCCUGAUCCAGCCAUACCGCGUGGGUGAAGAAGGCCUUCGGGUUGUAAAGCCCUUUUGUUGGGAAAGAAAAGCAGCAGGUUAAUACCCCGCUGUUCUGACGGUACCCAAAGAAUAAGCACCGGCUAACUUCGUG